This 901-nucleotide ribosomal RNA is filed under the name Cainia graminis. RNAcentral describes it as "SSU rRNA". It matches the Rfam family "Bacterial small subunit ribosomal RNA", at positions 388 to 1286 of the family's 1533-position model. Lineage: Eukaryota; Fungi; Ascomycota; Sordariomycetes; Xylariales; Cainiaceae. The record is from RNAcentral.
GCUGCCUMCUUGGAAGAAUGAGAUUUUUUACCGUUAUAAAUCUAAUAAAUUGAUCUUAUCAAAUAAAGUUCUAAAUGUAUUAUUGAUAAUGACGGUAUACAUAUUAUGCCUUGACUAAUUACGUGCCAGCAGUCGCGGUAAUACGUAAGAGGCUAGUGUUAUUCAUCUUAAAUAGGUUUAAAGGGUACUUAGACGGUAAAAUUUUGCCUUAAUAAAGGUACAUUUUUACUAGAGUUUUAUGAAAGAAGAUAGUACUUGAGGUGGUAGAGUUAAUAUUUGAUGAUACCUUGGGGACUGGUUAAGGCGAAGGCAAUCUUUUAUGUAAAAACUGACGUUAAAGGACGAAGGCACAGAGAACGAACAGGAUUAGAUACCCCAGUAGUCUUUGCAGAGAAUGAUGAAUGCCAUAAAUUAGAAGAUUUUCAUGUGUGGCUCCGCCCAGAAUGAAAAAACUUGGUUUAUAAAUGAAAGUGUAAGCAUUUCACCUCAAGAGUAAUGUGGCAACGCAGGAACUGAAAUCACUAGACCGUUUCUGACCCCAGCAGUGAAGUAUGUUAUUUAAUUCGAUGAUCCACGAAAAACCUUACCACAAUUUGAAUAUUAUUAAUUUAAUUUCUCUAACUAGAAUAUCUAACUAGAUAAAUUUUAAUAAUACAAGUGUUGCACGGCUGUUUUCAGUUAAUGUUGUGAAACUGCGGAUACGUCCGUGUAAUUAACGAAUACCCCGGCUUUAUUUAUAUGUUUGUUAAUAUAGAGCAUUUUCUAGUAUUUUCACAAUCACUAGUAUAAAAGGGAAUAAGACAAGUCAUCAUGGCCUAGAUAUUGUGGGCUAUAGACGUGCCGCAUAUUCCUNACAAAGAGAAGCAAAAAUGUAAUUUAAGCUAAUCUCAAAAAAAAGGGA